UUGGCACAGUGAUCUACAUCUUAUGUUUCUAUAAUUUUUCAUUGUAAAUACUUCAUUUUCUGCUUUUCUGAAUUAAUUUCUUUCUAUGGAUUUCAUCAAGUAAUAAAUAGACUUCAAUUAGCAUGGUUACUGUGGAGACUAAAUAGGCAAAUAUAUGUAAAUCUGAAAGGGCACAAUCACGUUUUAUACAAAUUUGACUUUCUUUUUUUUCCCCCGAACCUCAGGUGCAAAUGGGUGAGUUAAUGAUCCCUUUGUUCAUGAAGCUUUUGCAUUAUUUCUCCACGAAAUACAUUCAGUUAUUCUUGAUGUCAGGGGAAAAUUGGUUUAUAAAAGUCCAUGAAUUGAUUAACACCAUUGUAAUCUUAGUUGCUUGAUAUCCAAGUCUAGGGGGGGACCAGAGAGCCGGAGGGGACUGAGGCUUCAGAGGGCUGCCAUGGAUACUGGAGAACCAUUGCUAGGGCAUACAGCAAGAAAAACGAGAUCUGAGAAAUUCCGCAGUGUUCGUCUACAGGUGGAAAACAAACCCUAUGUGUGUCAUGAGUCUGGAAGCACUCUGCUCUGGAAUCAGGGAGGGAACUCAAGAAUUCUGAAUGCCAUAGGCUACUGAAUGCACACAACACAAUGUUUAUCAUGUUCUGAUUUGUAAGAGAUCUGUAUUUUGACCUUUAUUUUCAAUCACAGCUAUAAUCUGACAUUUGACCCUGGGAUAGGAGUGACCUCUUACACCCUGUUCUUAGAGUGCACCACUUGUGGUUUCUUGGGCUAGGGGGUCACACCCAGGUGAAGGUCUGGGGCUUCCUGACAGGUGAGUCUGGAAGUUGUGUGCGCAGUACUGGAUCUCAUGACUUCUUUCUCCAUCCUCAGCUUUGCCUGCUUAGUGCUUGUACUGUCUGUGAGUGAGAACCCAGAGAAAGAUACCUGGCAACUGACUUGUCGACAAUGCAGGCACCGGAAUCAGUGACAUUUGAAGAUAUAGCUGUAGACUUCACCAAGGAAGAGUGGGCCCUGCUGGACGCAUCCCAGCGAAAGCUGUUCAGAGAUGUGAUGCUGGAAAGUAUCAAUCAUCUGAUCUUUCUGGAGAAUAAUAGCUGCAAAAGAUCCUUCCGGUUGGAGCAGGAAGGAGAGCUGCAGAGUGAAGGAACUGGGUUUCUCCAAGAGCACAGUCCAG
Herpailurus yagouaroundi (jaguarundi) is the source of this 1168-nucleotide long non-coding RNA. RefSeq lists it as uncharacterized. The record is from RefSeq and is a predicted model, not a curated record. The transcript has 3 exons. Lineage: Eukaryota; Metazoa; Chordata; Mammalia; Carnivora; Felidae.